Molecule: transfer RNA, 78 nt
Filed under: Candidatus Gygaella obscura
Lineage: Bacteria; Pseudomonadati; Candidatus Omnitrophota
Description: tRNA-Glu
Rfam family: tRNA
About the family: Transfer RNA (tRNA) molecules are approximately 80 nucleotides in length. Their secondary structure includes four short double-helical elements and three loops (D, anti-codon, and T loops). Further hydrogen bonds mediate the characteristic L-shaped molecular structure. tRNAs have two regions of fundamental functional importance: the anti-codon, which is responsible for specific mRNA codon recognition, and the 3' end, to which the tRNAs corresponding amino acid is attached (by aminoacyl-tRNA synthetases). tRNAs cope with the degeneracy of the genetic code in two manners: having more than one tRNA (with a specific anti-codon) for a particular amino acid; and 'wobble' base-pairing, i.e. permitting non-standard base-pairing at the 3rd anti-codon position.
Source: RNAcentral
GGCCCCAUCGUCUAGCUAGGUCUAGGACGGGUGGUUCUCAGCCAUCAAACACCGGUUCAAAUCCGGUUGGGGCUACCA